RNAcentral lists this ribosomal RNA (253 nucleotides) under uncultured bacterium. RNAcentral describes it as "partial 16S ribosomal RNA". It matches the Rfam family "Bacterial small subunit ribosomal RNA", at positions 524 to 776 of the family's 1533-position model. The record is from RNAcentral.
UACGGAGGGGGCGAGCGUUGUCCGAAGUUACUGGGCGUAAAGGGCGCGUAGGCGGGAAGCUAAGUCCGCUGUCAAAGCCCGGGGCUUAACCCCGGAAGGUCGGUGGAGACUGGUUUUCUUGAAGCUGCCAGGGGGAGAUGGAAUUACCGGUGUAGCGGUGAAAUGCGUAGAUAUCGGUAGGAACACCAGUGGCGAAGGCGGUCUCCUGGAGCAGACUUGACGCUGAGGCGCGAAAGCCAGGGGAGCGAACGGG